GUAGUCCAUCAAUGAGCGUUUCGAUGUCACUGGUACAGGGUGGUGCUGCCGGUGGUGCGCCACAGGGCGCCAGCGCAAUCUUGGCCGCUGCGGCUCCCUACUAUCAGCCGCCGGCCGUUCCCCAGGAUGUCCAGCCGGAUCGUCCCAUCGGCUAUGGAGCAUUCGGAGUUGUCUGGGCUGUCACAGAUCCUCGUGAUGGGCGACGCGUGGCCUUGAAGAAGCUGCCAAAUGUAUUCCAAUCGUUGGUCUCAUCGAAACGCGUUUUUCGCGAGCUGAAAAUGCUCUGCUUCUUCAAGCAUGAGAAUGUUCUCUCGGCUCUGGACAUUCUACAGCCACCGCAUUUGGAUUUCUUUCAAGAAAUCUAUGUGAUAACGGAGCUGCUGCAAUCGGAUCUGCACAAGAUAAUCGUAUCGCCGCAGCACCUGUCCGCCGACCACAUCAAGGUGUUCCUGUACCAGAUCCUGCGUGGCCUCAAGUAUCUGCACUCGGCCCGCAUCCUGCAUCGCGACAUCAAGCCGGGCAAUCUGCUGGUCAACUCGAAUUGCGUGCUCAAGAUCUGUGAUUUUGGUUUGGCCCGCGUGGAGGAGCCGGAUCAGGCCAAGCACAUGACCCAGGAAGUGGUCACCCAGUACUACAGGGCACCGGAGAUUCUGAUGGGCGCUCGUCACUACUCGUCGGCGGUGGAUGUGUGGUCGGUGGGCUGCAUUUUCGGCGAGCUCUUGGGCCGUCGUAUCCUGUUCCAGGCGCAGAACCCUGUGCAGCAGUUGGAGCUGAUCACCGAGCUGCUGGGCACGCCCACCAUGGAGGACAUGCGGCACGCCUGUGAAGGUGCCCGCACCCACAUGCUGCGCCGGGCGCCCAAGCCGCCCUCCUUCUCGGUGCUCUACACACUCAGCUCCCACGCCACGCACGAGGCUGUGCACCUGCUCUGCCAAAUGCUGGUUUUCGAUCCGGACAAGCGCAUUUCUGUGACAGAUGCCCUGGCGCAUCCUUACCUGGAUGAGGGACGUCUGCGCUACCACUCGUGCAUGUGCAAAUGCUGCUUCACUACCUCGGCCGGAAUGCGCCAGUAUACGGCUGAUUUUGAGCCCUCCGCGGGCCAGCCCUUCGAUGAUCUGUGGGAGCGCAAGCUCACCUCCGUGCAGCAGGUCAAGGAGGAGAUGCACAAGUUCAUUGCCGAGCAACUGCAAACGGGUCGUGUGCCGCUUUGCAUUAAUCCACAGAGUGCGGCCUUCAAGAGUUUCGCCAGCCAAUGAGAAUGAGAAAAUCUACUACUACUACCACUACCACUACUACCACUACAACUUGCACUGCUGCUCCUGCCGCUGCUCCACUCCGCCGCCGCCUACUGUUGCGCUGCCCUCAAGAACCGAUCCAGAUCCAGAUCGAGAUCGUUAUCCAGAUCAAGAAACUAGGCGCGCGAUCUCCUCUCACUAGAACGAAUCGAUAUAGAAACGCAGAAGUCACAAGAUACUAAUCUGCCGAAUGAUUGAAGAAUGAAAAUGAAUGAAAAUGCGAGCAAUGCCAAGAUAAAGAAACAAUAAUACAGAUACAGAAAAUGAGGCCUCGGGGCGGCAACUGUCUCUCAACUCCUUCUUAGUUCGACCGUGGCACAUCCUUCGGAGCUGCCGCCCUCGCCUCAUCAAUGGGAAUGACGGCAAAAUGAGGCGAUUGCUGCCUAAAAUCGAAACAAAAGCAACACAGCCAAACGAUAGAACCUCGCCGCCGAAAAGAAGGAGAAGAGGAGUCGAUUCCCAGUCCAAAAAAAACCCUCGAAAAAACCCAACCCAACCCAACCCAGAGAUAACUCAGCCAGGAACAACGAUUGAAUAAUUUUUAAGCGCCAAACGGCUUUUAAGUGGGCGUUUGUCUGUUUGAAAGUUAAAGCAUUCCACCACCGAAAUUAACUAAAAGAAAACAAACAAAUAUUUAAUAAUACUAUAGACAAACAAAUAUGUAACGUAACUCAACUGAAACUAGUCUAAACAACAAAACUGUAGUUAAAGCAGCAGCAGCGACACAAAACCAGCAAGUUUAAAGUGAAGGAAAAAUAUUACAAACAUUAAAGAGAGAGAGAGUGCAGCAGCAGAUUCUACGCACUACAAGCAAAGCGUAGUUUAUAAUAUUAGUUUUUUGGCAACAAAGCAGACAUUUUGUUGUGCUUGACAAGAAUUGGAAGAAUUGAUCGUAAAUUCGAAUUAAUGAAAAAAAAAACACAACACAAAAUCGUUUUAUGUUAUGCUUCUAAGAAAUCUAUGUAUAUGUAAAUUAAUUAGCAACACACACAGACAUCGUAUUCAUUAUAUACAAAUAUGCUUAACUAUUAAAUAUAUCGAUAAAUAUAUUUAAAAUAAAAUAGUAACAAAAUGCACACAAAUCCAAAAUUUGUUUGCCAAAAUUUACCUCAAGCGAUUAACCUUUUCAUCCGUAAAAAGGAUAAAUUCAUUUUCUGUUAGCUUACGAAAAAAAAAUAGUAAGGUGUAGCUACAGCUAAAUGUUUACUAAACGCAAAACAAAAAACAAAUUCAUUUGAAAUUAUGCAACUAUUUUCAUUUUCACAAACGUUGAAAGCUUCAAUUUUGAAACUGGUUUCUAGAUAUAUACUCUAAAUGUAUCUGACCACAAAAAGCGGUCAAACACUAACUCAAUAUUAGACAAAACAAAAAUAUUUGAUGAAAUUAGUUCAAAGUUUCAACUGUCGACUGAGCAAAAAUUACAAUAUAAAUAAAUAUAAAUAUAAAUUAAACAAUUUCAACCUAAUUUAGUUAUGACAAUUUUCGCUUUGAUAAUAGUUUGUUAAGCUUUUUAAUAAUAUUUUUCAUAAAUGUAAACUAUCAAAUAAACAAACCAACAAAGGAAAAACCAACAAGUGGACGACGCACUGCCCCCAGUGAAUGAUUCUGGCGGAUGAAGCCCAAUGGGACGAAAAGGAGGAUUUCCAUUCCCCUUUGGAGUCCCACGGCGCCGCCCGAAUCAAUUCAAUUUUAGUUGAUACAUAUACUUUGCUUUUAGUUGAUUACCAUGUAAUAUAGUUUAAUUUUCGACUAACUACACCUCUGUCUCUCUCAAUGCUCAUCGCUUUAGACUAUAGCAAAGGUGCAGGACAGGAUCGGUUAUAGAGGAUCAAUUGCUACGGCCUCGGCUGCCCAGAACAUUAUAUAUGUUAAGACUGAGUUUUCUCAUUUGACGACGACGAUUGAUUAAUUGAGGAUAUGCAAUAUGAAAUUCACACUUGAUUUUUUUGGAAGAGUCAAAAUUAUGAUGUAGCUUAAGCACUUACACAAAAUUAAAAAUGUAUACCGUAAAUGUGUAUUUUGAAUGUCAUUUGCCUUCAAUGUUUAGAGCAAAAACAAUGCAAAAAUAUUUAAUCGAAAAAAAACGAUAAUGAAGUAGAAGAAGCUCUUGAAGAAAUUAAAACUGAAGCUAAACUAAACUUUUCCUCUUCUUCAAUUCUCUUAACUGUGCUGCUUUCUUAUGUAUGUAGUUAUUAAUUAUAUCAUUAUAUAUAUUAACCGAUAUAUAUACAUGUAUGGAUUAGCGUAAAACAAACGAAAACAAAACAAAAAACAAAUAUGAAUUCAAAACUUUCACGGAGAUCUCAUAGCAAAAACAAAACGAAAUGAAAGAAAAGAAAAGCAAAGGAAAUCAGUGUGCAAAAAAGUAGAAUUUCUUUUCAACUUUUGUUUAUAACUAAAGUUUUUCUUAACCGUUAAUAUAUAGAGUACCAAUUAGAGAUUACAGAUUGUUUAUCCCUCAUUUGACCAGAGACCGACCCAGAGACACACGCUCGAAUGCAAGUUAAAUUGACAUCUACAUCAACAUCAUUUACAUCUCUAAGCACAUACUCCCCAUAGAGGUACAUAUAUAAUUAUAGCUACUCAUAUGGAUAGUUAGUUUUCGUUCGGCUUAGGCACCGUGUACAUAACAUUAUCUCCACACCCCCACCAAUAAUUAGCCCACAUCUCUCUCUAGCUCAGUAAGACGGUUAGCUAUGAGGUAAUACGAGUACGAUAAGUAAUGGACAUGUACAUUAUACUACACACAUAGCACAACCCUCGAUUGGAGCAGGUCUGAACUAAAACAUAAAGAAAUUCACACUCGAUAUAUGCCUAUAUAGGAUGUAUGAUUUGGGGGAGAACGACUUGAGUCGAUUCAACCGCCCGUUCGAAAUGAGUUCAUAAGUUAAGAUCAACUGUAACUGUAAACUGCAUUAGUAUUUGACUUGUAAACCGAUUUAUGGAUCAUUCUUAACUAUAUAUAUUAGAUACGUAUUACACAUUAAUUUACGUUAACUGAGAAUAAAACAAAAACUUGUGUAAACUGUUUGUAUAAAAAAAAAUAAGAACAAAACAAAAAAAGAAGAAAACGAA
This is an RNA transcript of Drosophila rhopaloa, 4370 nucleotides long. It is a transcript of the gene named serine/threonine-protein kinase NLK, with no coding region annotated. The transcript is spliced from 8 exons. The record is from RefSeq and is a predicted model, not a curated record. Lineage: Eukaryota; Metazoa; Arthropoda; Insecta; Diptera; Drosophilidae.